This 67-nucleotide transfer RNA is filed under the name Euastacus yarraensis (Yarra cray). RNAcentral describes it as "tRNA-Met". Lineage: Eukaryota; Metazoa; Arthropoda; Malacostraca; Decapoda; Parastacidae. The record is from RNAcentral.
UCAAAAGAUAAGCUAAUUAAGCUAAUGGGCUCAUACCUCGUUUAUGAGAGUAAACCUCUCUCUUUUC